UAUAAAAACAUUUGUUCACUU
RNAcentral lists this non-coding RNA (21 nucleotides) under Caenorhabditis elegans. The record is from RNAcentral. Lineage: Eukaryota; Metazoa; Nematoda; Chromadorea; Rhabditida; Rhabditidae.